This 652-nucleotide ribosomal RNA is filed under the name Paenarthrobacter nicotinovorans. RNAcentral describes it as "bacterial SSU rRNA". It matches the Rfam family "Bacterial small subunit ribosomal RNA", at positions 80 to 743 of the family's 1533-position model. Lineage: Bacteria; Bacillati; Actinomycetota; Actinomycetes; Micrococcales; Micrococcaceae. The record is from RNAcentral.
CUUGCUGGGGGAUUAGUGGCGAACGGGUGAGUAACACGUGAGUAACCUGCCCUUGACUCUGGGAUAAGCCUGGGAAACUGGGUCUAAUACCGGAUAUGACUCCUCAUCGCAUGGUGGGGGGUGGAAAGCUUUUGUGGUUUUGGAUGGACUCGCGGCCUAUCAGCUUGUUGGUGGGGUAAUGGCCUACCAAGGCGACGACGGGUAGCCGGCCUGAGAGGGUGACCGGCCACACUGGGACUGAGACACGGCCCAGACUCCUACGGGAGGCAGCAGUGGGGAAUAUUGCACAAUGGGCGCAAGCCUGAUGCAGCGACGCCGCGUGAGGGAUGACGGCCUUCGGGUUGUAAACCUCUUUCAGUAGGGAAGAAGCGUAAGUGACGGUACCUGCAGAAGAAGCGCCGGCUAACUACGUGCCAGCAGCCGCGGUAAUACGUAGGGCGCAAGCGUUAUCCGGAAUUAUUGGGCGUAAAGAGCUCGUAGGCGGUUUGUCGCGUCUGCUGUGAAAGACCGGGGCUCAACUCCGGUUCUGCAGUGGGUACGGGCAGACUAGAGUGCAGUAGGGGAGACUGGAAUUCCUGGUGUAGCGGUGAAAUGCGCAGAUAUCAGGAGGAACACCGAUGGCCAAAGGCAGGUCUCUGGGGCUGUAACCUGA